UUCAGGUUGUUGCCUCAGGAGUCAUAAGCAGCCCAAUAAGUCGCCGAGAGAGAAGGCCUACUGCUUUCUGAAUAUUAACAGUUGCUGGUUGGUCCAAUAGCUCUAUUGAUUGUGUAUUUUGGAUGCAUUUCUUAAUGGUUUGUAGGUAAUACAUUGUCUUUUGCAAGGAAAAAUUUCCAGUACCUCUACACAAGUUAUGCCUGCUGCUACUUUGGAAAGUGUUCUAGUUUUUAGAAGUAGCAACAACAAGAGAGAGAAAAGAG
Asparagus officinalis (garden asparagus) is the source of this 263-nucleotide long non-coding RNA. RefSeq lists it as uncharacterized. The transcript has 2 exons. The record is from RefSeq and is a predicted model, not a curated record. Lineage: Eukaryota; Viridiplantae; Streptophyta; Magnoliopsida; Asparagales; Asparagaceae.